Molecule: ribosomal RNA, 498 nt
Filed under: uncultured bacterium
Lineage: Bacteria
Description: bacterial SSU rRNA
Rfam family: Bacterial small subunit ribosomal RNA
Source: RNAcentral
AGAGUUUGAUCAUGGCUCAGGAUGAACGCUGGCGGCAUGCCUAAUACAUGCAAGUCGAACGGAAUCUUAUAUGUUCCUCGUUUCGGAUUUAGUUCCGAGUUGGGGAACAAUAAGAUUUAGUGGCGGACGGGUGAGUAACACGUUGGUACCUACCCUCUAGUGGGGAAUAACUUCGAGAAAUCGAGGCUAAUACCGCAUAAUAUCUACGGAUUAAAGCAUUUAUGCGCUAGAGGAGGGGCCUGCGUCUGAUUAGCUUGUUGGUGAGGUAAAAGCUCACCAAGGCGACGAUCAGUAGCUGGAUCGAGAGGUUGACCAGCCACACUGGGACUGAGAUACGGCCCAGACUCCUACGGGAGGCAGCAGUAAGGAAUCUUCCACAAUGGGCGAACGCCUGAUGGAGCAAUGCCGCGUGCAGGAUGACGGUCUUCGGGUUGUAAACUGCUUUUAUAUAGGAAGAUUAUGACGGUACCAUAUGAAUAAGGACCGGCUAACUACGUG